This 257-nucleotide unclassified non-coding RNA is filed under the name fungal sp. Its description in RNAcentral is "partial contains 5.8S ribosomal RNA, internal transcribed spacer 2, and large subunit ribosomal RNA". The record is from RNAcentral. Lineage: Eukaryota; Fungi.
CGCACAUUGCGCCCACUAGUAUUCUGGCGGGCAUGCCUGUUCGAGCGUCAUUUCUAAACCUCAAGCUCUUGCUUGGUGUUGGAGCGAGCGUUUUUUCGCAGCUCUCAAAAUCAAUGGCAGAUCUGCAAUGAUCUAGGCGUAGUAAUUUUUCUCGUCUCUGAUUAUUUGUGUGAUCUCGUUGCGCAGUCUAUCCAGCUUCGCUGGAAGAAUAUCUUCAGUUUGACCUCGGCUCAGGUAGGAAUACCCGCUGAACUUAA